This 110-nucleotide small RNA is filed under the name Salmonella enterica. RNAcentral's name for it is "partial RtT sRNA". It matches the Rfam family "RtT RNA", at positions 25 to 130 of the family's 130-position model. From Rfam's summary of the family: This family represents a bacterial cis-regulatory element known as RtT RNA. The exact function of RtT is unknown although it is thought that it may be involved in changing the cellular response in relation to amino acid starvation. Lineage: Bacteria; Pseudomonadati; Pseudomonadota; Gammaproteobacteria; Enterobacterales; Enterobacteriaceae. The record is from RNAcentral.
AGAACCUCCGGGGGUAAGAGGUUCGACUCGAGCGAAGCGAGAGAACGUUGCGCCAGCAACGGCCCGCAGGGCGAGCCACGCAGUGGCGAGUCAUCCUCUAUCACCGGCAG